RNAcentral lists this long non-coding RNA (643 nucleotides) under Homo sapiens (human). RNAcentral's name for it is "uncharacterized LOC101928721, transcript variant 6 (LOC101928721)". The record is from RNAcentral. Lineage: Eukaryota; Metazoa; Chordata; Mammalia; Primates; Hominidae.
GUUACUUGACUGGUACCUCCAGCCCACCAGCAGGCAAUGAUGGCAUCAGACUAGAGGAUCACCAGUAAAUCAUUGUAAACAAAGGAGCCAACAGAGUGAGAUGAAGGGGACAACUUCAGAUACUCAGGCAGAAGUGAACUUGGCUCCAUGCAUUGAUGGAGAAGAAAGACACCCGAGGGCUCCAUUCUGCAGGAUGAGUCUGCAGGGAUCUCCUUGCCAGCUAUGGAAGUCAGUAUGACAGCUUCAGCUACCUACAGUCCACUUGCCAGCAUAAGUCCCCACCUGCUGACCUGCUGCCUGCUAUCUUAACACGAAUUCUUCAUCUGAAUGGAUGAGCUUUUCACAGAGUUCCAAACUAAGGAAUCCAGGAGUGGCCAAUCCAGAGAUUCAUUCCUUAUCUUUGACGAACAUCUGAACUCCUGGCUCAUCCUGUGGAAUUCAGGCCAUACAGGAGAUCAAGGUCAUUUGCUUUGGGUUAAAUGAAUGUUGCCAGGUGGAGGUUGCUAGAGGGAGAGUGCUAUGUGAAAGUGCUGUAUAAACUGCUUGCUUUUCACAAACAGUAGUGAUUCUUUAUCCUGUCCAGCCUGCCACAACUGGACCAUCCUGUAUGUAAGUCCCCUUAAUAAAUCCUGUGUCUCAUUCA